Non-coding RNA from Microcebus murinus (gray mouse lemur), 274 nucleotides. The record is from RefSeq and is a predicted model, not a curated record. NCBI's taxonomy places the organism in Eukaryota, Metazoa, Chordata, Mammalia, Primates, Cheirogaleidae.
UUGACAGUCCUCAAGCCAGACACCCAGGGGAGUUUGUCCCUGAAUCCUGUCUCUCACUCACCUUGCACAUUUGUGUGACCCCGAACGAGUAUCUUGAUCUGUCUGAGCCUUGGUUUUUGAACACAGAGAAGGCAGCUACUACUAUCAAUCUCCACUGUGAAGACCAAAUGAGGUUUCCCAAGAAGUACAUUCAUUCAGGCUACCCAAAUGUGAGACCAAGAGGGCCUGCAUCACAAUGGCCACCCUGGACAUAUAUCUGCACAGACUCUAUACU